Molecule: long non-coding RNA, 7401 nt
Organism: Oncorhynchus tshawytscha (Chinook salmon)
Lineage: Eukaryota; Metazoa; Chordata; Actinopteri; Salmoniformes; Salmonidae
Source: Ensembl
UUUGUUAAGGAGCGCUUGGCGCCAGUCUGCUGGCGUCCCACAACAAGAACCCUUUCCUGUCACUUCAUAUUUAACCCCAAAUCUUCAAACAGCGUGCUCCAAUCCCCUCUGCAUUCCCUCUAAGGCUGCAGCCCAUGGUAGAUCUUUAACUUCGGAUUUCCUGCACUUGCCACAUAUCGGCGAUAGUUUGGCUAUAAUUAUUUAUUCCAAUGCGGAUUCUUAAUUAAUGAAUGAAGAGUUUCCCAGACUCAAACCCAGUUUAAAACAUUCAAACUUCAGCUGAAUACACCGGACCUCUGUCACAAUGGUGAGACUCUUCAUAAUUUUACCCUCAUAAACGCUAUAAAAUGCAAUAUGUUUUCACAUUAUAUUUUCUUUCUGUUAUUUUCUUUCUGUUUAGCAUUUUAUCUCAUUUUGAACGAAUUGUCACUUGUUUGUAUUGAAGAAAAUGAUAUGAUUAUCUUAUUUUGAAAACAUGUAGUCACACGUAAUAUAUUACUAAACGUUGUUUUAACUUUUAACAGUACAUUUUCAGUGGUAUGCUGCAAUUGUAUUUACAUUAUAUGACAUUUACAGAUCAUUCAAACGAUUAGGGGAGAAGAAGUGGAGAAUGGAACGUAGGCCUACACACCGUAGGUGUCGAUAAUGGUGUGUCUGGAUGAGUCCACUGAAAGGUGUUUGGUAUUUAGUAGUUUUGUAUGCCAUAACCUUUUAGAACUAUCAAAAAACACCAGAAUGGCCCGCGGACUUUUGCCAUUGAGAAGCGCAACAUCGGGUUAGUUAUAAAACAAAACAUUAACACGGCAAUAGUGAGGCUAGACCAAUCAUAGACUAAUAGACUAAACAGUAAGGUCAGGUAAGUGAAAGGCAUUGUUGAUUUUAUUUUAUUUUAUAGAAUGUAUCUUUUCUUGUUGAAGGUAGAUAUAGGCCUACUUUCUUGUGACAUGUUUCCAUGGCAAACAUUCAUAGCCGACUUAAACUGUGGAAUAUCAUUUCACAUGAUUCACUAAAUGCUAGGCUUUUCGACCAGUCAAGUUCGAAUGUUAAAGAAACUUCGUCAUUUGCAGAAGGAAAAAAUACAACCAUGACAACCAUUAGGCCAAUACUUUAUUACGAUUCAUAUUUUUACAGUGAAUAUCAUAUGCCUAUAGAGUUGGUUGAUGGUAAGGUCCCAACACCUAUAGUUUAUGCCUACCAAUAUAACCCACACAAUCACGAGGCCAAUUCUGAGUGUUUGUGUCUGCAAUUCCCCGAUCAAGAACGUUGUACUUAAGGCUGUGUUUGAGCAAUGGUAAUAGCCAAUUAGUGUACAGUCUGACCGCAGUUGCUGAAAUAAAGUAACAGAAAAAACACUAUUUUGCAAAUAUUAUUUUUUCAGUAACACAUUUGGUAGGCUACAUAUAGACUACUGCUACUCCAUAUUUUAAGUCUUUGGGAUGCAAAAGGUUUAAACCCACACGGAGACAGAUAAUGAUUUCCUAUGUAUAUAUAUCAUUCAACUAAUUACAUAAACCAAGGCAGACAUUAUGCUCAAUUUAUUUGUUUUAGGGGUUCCACAGUAAGCCUAUGCGCAUAUAGGCCUAGUUGAUGUUGUGGUUUUAUUUAGGCCUAGCCUAUAGGUCUAUGUGUUAGCUCGGUGAGUGCACAUGGACCUUUGUAUCUUAACUUUUGUUUUUAACUUUAACUUCAACCUAAAUAAUUUAUCAUGUUGAGCGAAAUGAGUGUGUCAAUUUGUAUUUGUUCACAUGACAGAAUUAGGUGCACAAGUCACUAGUGCUAUAGUCUACCCAGCUAGCACAUAACGUUCUGAGAACAAUAUGUUUCUCAGAGUUUGGCGAGAGCAUGAAUGUCUUAUGGUUAUUUUUGCAUGCAACCUUCACACAACUUUCUGGGAAUGGUGCAGGAUAGUUGAUUGGCUUUGGAACAUUCUCAGCACAUUUAAGGAACUUGAAAAAAAAAAAAGUAAUUUCAUUACUUUAACAAAACAUUUCCUAAAAGUUCAAAAAUGGUUUACAAGUUGGAUAUUUUCAUUUCCAUUUUGGUAAUGUUCUAGCAGCAUUCUCCAGCUGGUUUGACAGAAUGUUCUCAAAUAGUUCAGAGAACUUUAAGAAACAACAUUCUUCUGUGAGAAUUUCUGUACUUCAGCGUAAUAUUUCCUACAGGUUUCCUCAUGGUUUUAUUUAAAGUAAUGUUCUCAACUUGUUCAAAGAAAGCUGUCUUCAUCAGGGUAUGAUCAAAAACACUGUGGGAUGACUCGUUUAUAAAGUGUCAAAAGACACACAGGUGUCUGUAAUCAUGGCCAAUAGUGGCCUAAUAUCAUUGGUUAAUUCUCAAAUAUUAAAAUGGCAUACAAAGAACAGCAUACAAAAAACAAAUGGAUAGCAACCUAAAAAAUAUACCGAACAGGCAAAAUGUUUACUUCUGUUCUCGGAACAUUUAAAGAAAAGUUCAAUUUUACAGGUCAGGAAACAUAUGGCUUCCUUCCCACAACCAAUGUGAAACCUAAAACAUAAAUUCUCACAACUUCCAAGGAACCAAAUGUGCUAGCUGCGUAUAGCCUGCCAAAAUAGCCUAGAUAUGUGGUGUAGGACCUACACUUUAUAUGAGAGAGCAUAUCGAGUAAAAAAACACAAAUUAUUUCAAAUGUAUCGGAUACAAGAUGUUUGUCCCCCUGCCAUACCAUAUGCUGUUAUAAAUCUGCUCUACAUGUCCCUUGAUUUUUUUUCAUCAUUCCCCUUCCAUCAUUCCCCUUCCAUCUCUCUCUCUCUAACUGCUCCUUGGCUAUAUUUAUCCUGAGGACUGAGGUCUUGGCGCCAGACCGUUUAAGACCUGUCAGAGUCCCUCAUAUUCCCGCGUCACAUAGCCAAGGCAAAAAGUCUUCCAGUCUUAAAAACUAAACCGAUCCCCCUCGCCCUCCAACCCCUGGUCAUGGUCAAUUCCCUCACUUCACUCUUCGCGUUCGUUGAUUCAUUCAUUCAUUCGUCCAUCCAUCUAUUUGUUCAAAUCUGGGUUUAAUCCCGUUGCGUCGCAUCAGUAUUUGGGGGUUUAGAAAUUUGCUCUUCGUCGUGACUGUCUCAUCUCAUUGACCCUAGUCAGUGGGGCCGCGGUCCAGUUCCCUACCCCAGCCAGUUCAACAAAGUCUAACGGAUUGUUGAAAACUAUCAUCAUUUAUUCAUAGCAACAAUCGUUGGCGUGCACUCCUUACCCAAAUUUGCCCCAGUUUUCCUGAUGAUGCCCCCAUACCUACUCAUAUCGACCUACUCUCCUUAAUCCUCAAUUAUUCAUGCGGAUGCUUAUUAUCUAACAGGCUUAAAUAUAUUUAUGCUACUGCAUGUUUAUAGAAGCAAGUGUUAAAUAUAGGGCACUCCAUAUGCCUUGUUCAUAAUAGCCUACAUGUUAUUUCAGCUGGAGAUUAAAUGGAAUAUGGGCUAAUUAACCUGCGCCAAUUACUGCACACUCAUGUACUCCAUAAGGGGAUCUUGGCAGAAGCCUUAAGCCUUAACCUAUCAUUAGUUACUGUAGGCUAAUCAUGUCUGCCGGAGGAUACUGGCUCCGCUGGGAUCCUGGGAUGUGGGAAUUAAGGUCAAUACGAAGAGCACCUUUCACUUAGAUAUAACAGGCGGGAGCGCCAAAUUUAGGGUCGACAGGGAUUUGAAAAUAUAUAUGUUUUUCAAUCUAACUCGAUGUUUCACCACAAAGAAAAUGUAUCCAGACUAAACGAGUAUGUAUAUUGAUUUAAUUUGAGUGACUAUCGUAAGUCAUUUGUUUAUUCAAAACUGUAAUAUGCUAUAGCCCUCUGCAGUGAGGCUGUCAUUGCCAUCAUUAUAAUGAUUGCAUUCCCUUGUAGGCAACCACUCACAGUCGUCAUUACCUUUAGAAUGGAAUUGUGGGACUUUUAUAUCCAUGUUCAUAACCUAGUUAUGUGACCCAUGUAUUUUACAUUAGUUUGCCUAACAAUUAUUUUAUUUCUUCAUAGGAAGGGAUGCACUUUCACUCUUUAAUUGAAAACUUGAUUCACCUGCCGCACCACUGAACCGGUUGAAAACACGAAAUGGUUCGUCGAUCAAAGACAAGUUUUAUUCGGUAGAGUAAUUCAUAUCAACUUGCUUCUUUUAAACAUAAAACGUUUUGAUGAUGACAAUAUCGACCCACAGUGGAUGCUUUAAAUGCCAUCUUCACAGAUAAUUGAUUCAGUAGCUAAAGCUUUUUUGAAUAAUACAAAUAAAGUCAACAGGGACAAUUCGAAUAUACUUUUGUGGUUAUGGUAUAGCAGGGCUCGAUCUUGUUUGAGAAUCUUACACCAGUGUUUCCCACACGCCCAAACUACCUGCUUAUUGUAUGGACACAACAUUUUAGUGGGCCAUUAACUAUUUUCAGUUGCAUUUCCAACAUCGCCGGUAUUACACUUGGUUGUAGAACAACUAAUAGACACCAUUGUUGAAAUACAUCUGAUCAGCUCAACAAACUUGUUUAUCUUAACGGCUUACUAGUCACAUAUAAUAAAGCCUAAAUAGGGUUAAGUAUUUUAAUUAACGAAUUAACUUGAUCAAUUAAUCUAUUGGAUGACCAUCAAAAAUGUAAAAUAAAGACGUACCAAAUGGCCUGUUGAUUCAAAGUUCAAAUCCAGAUUAUAAUUGGAAUAUGCAUGACUUUGAUACAUUUUACAUGAUUCUUUUUUGACAAUUAAAAACACACUUUAAACAAUAAUUAAUAGGCUAACACGUGCUCUGGUCUAUAUUUUUUUGUGUAUGAAACAUUGAUGGUUUGUCUAUCGUUUACACUAAAGCCUCUCAUUGUAAACUGAUAUUUCUCUUAAUAGCUACAUUUUACAUUAUUGAUAAAAAUAUAUAUUUUUGUUAGUUUAUCAUUAAUUAAACACUUUUUACAUAUAAUAAUAUAUAUUCAUAUACUAUAAACAAGUACUCCAACUAUCACUGCAAGAACUGCAAGAAUAUUCAACAUUUCUAUCUGAAGACUGUUGGAACAUACCAAGGAACGGAGGACUUUUUCAGACAGUCUAUCCUAAUGCUAAACUCUGUAUGAUCUCUCUAAAAUAGCCAUGUCAAUAUUCAAUAACAUUUCUGAUAAUGUGACAUAUCAUAUUUUUGACAUAUUUCUUGUGUCUGACAAUGUCUAAUGAAAGCCACAAUUUGAUUAAUAAGCAUACAAUAGCCUAGAAGGCCUACUUUUAAAAACAAAUCACUAUCCAUGGGUGUGUCUUAACAACUUAACUGCCAGCCACAUACUUGUAAAACUAUAUCAAAUGUAUAUUUACAGAGCAGUAUCGUGCCUGUAGCGCUACCCUAUAAGGUCAUAGAAAAAUGUAUACAGUAUCUGAAUUCCUGCCCAAUAUCACACAUGGUAACCAAUAUUAUUUUUUAACUUAACAAUUUCUACAGUAUUUCUGAUCUAAUAAUACAUGUGUAGUAAAGUAAAAAUCCAUGUGAGUGAGGACAAUUGCAGAUGCAGUUUGAAGCGAGGGCGAGGAUUUCUUUUAAGGCUGUUAUCAGCGAGAUGAUGCCAGCCAAAGAGGUCAACUAAUGCCAAAUAUGUACAUUGUAUUCUUCCAUAUUACUCCUGAAGGACAAUGCUUAGAUCUGUGUAACAGUGAAUCACUAUACAGACUGAGUCCUCAUACAAGGUAUAUGUGUGUGUGUGUGUGUUUGUGUAUCUGUUUUUCAUUCCUUCAAUAAAGACAACUUCAGUGCUACGGUUGGCCUUUUUCUCAUCCUAUAUGAAUUAUGUUCCAGCUACAAAAAAUCCCUUAAUGAGUUAUUUUGUCUGUACUCUGUUACAUGUCCACAAUCCCUCACACUGAACCCUGAAGCAGAGAAACAAGCCUGUUUAGCUGAUUCAUUAUAUGGUUCAAGGUUUUCUUUUGAAGACAUUAUUAGAAACAGACACAAACUUUUUCACUGAAGAAAUUAUAUUGUCUCUUGUCAAUGCUCAAUUGAAACAAGUCAUAUGUACUGACAGUAUAACAGCAGACUCAUAACAAUUUCUGAUUAAUUUAAUAAGGAAUCAGUGUCCAUUGAAUAUAAGCCUUUUUUUUUACACAAAACAAAAGAGUUACCAUCACUGAGGUUAGACCUAAAACAGAACUAACUUUGCUGCAUUACUGUUCAUAAUGUGAUACAACAAGCAGAAAGUUCAACAAAUACGGUAUCAUCGUUACCACACUGCAUGUGAUUGCAGGUGUCAAGGGCAGUGUCAUGCUAGGGGCAUUCUAUGAGUUGCUGUAAGCACUAUAAAGCUGCCUUUGGACCAGGCUAGAGGGCAUGUCCAGGUUAAUAAUGAUUCAUGAAGCCUUCAUUAACUAUUGGCAUGCUUCUUGAUUGUCAACAAAGUGGGAUUUAUCAUAUUAUAUGAAAUGAAAACCAUCUGACCAUCACGUGUGAUGGCCUUUGGACUAAAUUGUGCCGCUGAUGCUGCUGCUUUAGCACAAUGUCCAUUACGUUACCCAUUCAUUUAGCAUUUGGUAAAGCAAUAAUCAUAUAAUAAAAAAAGAAGUGUACAAAUCUAUGUGAACUAUCUUGCGGGUUACUUUGUUGUUUUCUUGGUUGGACAGAGUGCUUUCCAAACUUUGUGUUGGUUGGUCAUCCCAUGGGUCUGUCUUGACUCAGUGAUUUUCCCCUGAUCAAAGGCCUAGCAGAGAAUGAGGGGGAGGCCAGCUAACCUCCUGUGUUGUGGACUGUAAGGUGGAUGCAAUAACCUGAAAGGUCAGCAUCUCCCCAUAUCAACACUGCCACACUGACCGGUGGAAUGUUCACAUCAGGGUCAGGAGCAUCAGAAGAAGACUAAAAGGAUCCAGCAAAUGUGUUUGUUGUGUCAUCAUAGUGGUCUCUGACUUGUGGUCAGACUCAGUCAGGUGGAACAACAUGACUGAUUUUCCGCUAGCUAGAGGUUAACUUAAAUGUUUUCCUUUUUUAAGGCUGAAUUGAAUGUCAUUGAGAAAACAGAAAGGUGUCAUAAUAUACAGUAUAUAUUUUUUGCAAACAUUAUUUCUGCAUAUAAGGGUUACCAACACAUAAGGUAAUCAUCUAGUUUUUCUAAAGUGUCUGUAAUCUGAUUACAAUAUUUUUACUAGUAAUGUAAUUGAUUAGUUACAAUUUUGUAAUCAGUUACUUCCCAACACUGGUGGGAGGGGUAUACCAGCUUUACCAUCGGACACUAAUCACCUGAUUAUAAAAAAAUGACAUACUCUCUCCAUCGCUUGUUGAAGGUGUUUGAUAUAGGCUCUUAAAUUGAGGUGGGUUAUCAAUAUGUAUUUGUCAAAGGCUCUGGACAGCGAGACUAUCAGUAUCUGUCAGAUGGAAUGCAUUAUCUCAGUAACCAGAAAUAUGUGUAAACAUCUUGGGAACAAUUUGCUCAAAAUAUUAAAGGCAAAGUUUUUUCAAAUUA